UGCCCUAGUAGUAUAAAAAUUACUUUGGUUUUGUAAACCAAAAAUGGAGACUUCAUCUCCCUAGGGCA
Molecule: transfer RNA, 68 nt
Filed under: Allocricetulus eversmanni (Eversmann's hamster)
Lineage: Eukaryota; Metazoa; Chordata; Mammalia; Rodentia; Cricetidae
Description: tRNA-Thr
Source: RNAcentral